CUCAACACAGCACGGUCACGGUCAGUACGGUGAUAGUGAUCAAGGAAGCUAAACGUUUAUCUGUUUUCGUUUGUUAUCGAUCGUACGUUACGUUCAACUAAGAGAAGAAAUGGAGAAGACUGAAUUGAGCAAGGAUCAAAUGAAAAUUCUGAAGGAUGCCUUCGAUGCGUUCGACAUUGAGAAGAAGGGCAGCAUCUCGCUGGAAGUGAUCGGUACGAUCAUGGAUCUGCUGGGAUAUGCCCUGUCCGAGGAAGAGCUAAAGGAGGUGAUGGAGGACUACGAUGAGGAUGAAUCGGGACAGAUUGAGUUUGAGGAGUUCAUUGAGCUUGCAUCAAACUACGUCGAGCCGGAGGAAGACUACGAUGUGCUGAGGGCUGAGCUACGCGAAGUGUUCAUGCUGUACGAUAAGGAUGGUACGGGUUUCAUCCCGGUGAACGCGUUCAAGGCGAUCCUCCGAGAGUUGGACGGUGCGGUGCCCGAGAACGAACUGGAUGACAUCGUGGAUGAGAUUGAUGCCGAUGGUUCGGGCACGGUUGACUUUGAAGAAUUCAUGCAGGUUAUGACAGGUGAUUAAGAGAAAGGUUUUUGAGUGUGCACGGAGACCGACGGUGCAUUACCGUGGCAGGGUCCACAAGAAUAAAGGGAAACCCACAUCGUUCGGACUGGAGGCUAUACUGCAACACUGCAAAUGGUGGCAAAGACUUAAAGACAUCGUUUUCUUCUCAACGUUAUGCUAUUGAACUACCCAACGAUAUUUAUGCGAAGAAAAGCGUCCAGCUAAAACCAUUUUAAGACACGCACACAAUUGGUUUUUGUGCAAACUGGAGUGUCAUCGUACUUCUAACAUUUUUAUCAAAUAGCCUUGUAAAAGCAAUCAUUCCGAGAAAAAGACAAGUAAGAAAUGAAAUCGUGUUAACGCGUACCUUUUCUCGUGCAAGGUUUGUUUACGUUUUUAAAUCGAGCCGGUAGCGAGAAAAUAAUUUUGAAUUAAAUAAAAUUAAUUUAAACAAAGAAAA
Molecule: RNA transcript, 1016 nt
Organism: Anopheles funestus (African malaria mosquito)
Lineage: Eukaryota; Metazoa; Arthropoda; Insecta; Diptera; Culicidae
Gene name: troponin C, isoallergen Bla g 6.0101-like
Exons: 5
Source: RefSeq, a predicted model, not a curated record